UUUAAUUCAUAAACAUCUUAUGCUUUUCAUUUACGAAAGAAUAAUGAAAUCCUUGGAAACUUUUCAUGGUAAAUUAAGUGUCUUGGUUUUCAUUUCAUUUGGACCAAAAACAGAACCAAGAAAAAUGACCCAAAGAAAUCCUAAAGCAAGCUUUCCUUUCUUGGUUUAAACAUUUCAAUGUCAAGGACAUUCAAUUGCUCAGAUACUUCAAUGCCAGAAACAGAAGCGCAAUCAUUCAAGCACUUCAACGAGCAGAAGUUUAAUUCCAUCCAAAUUUUCUUGGUCUAAAAGAGUACGGUACAAUCUUAGCCAAGAAUAUUAUACGGAGUUUUCCUUACUUCAGGUAUGUUAAGGCCCUCCCUUCUUUCUUUUGGCAUGGUCCAGAUUAUACGAAAGAAACGAGCAAAUACACGGUUUCUAUAAAUUAUUCUAUUCAUAGAAAUAGUAGGGGUGUCUAUAUUCUUGAUUCCCCAUGAGAAUUAUUAUUAUCUUCUGUUCAUGGGUCUCAGAAUAAUACGCAGCUGGAAAAGUUUAUCCGGAAGGAAUAUCGAGAUUAUUAUGUAUUUUCAUGCAUUUUACUCAUUUAUACAUGUGCAUUGACCCAUUACCACAUGGCGUUAUAUACGCGUAUAUUUGUAAAUAUAUAUAUAUGGGUUAUGGGAAAAGGUUAUGGCGUUAUAUACGCAUCACCACCUGAUCAGCUGGUAUAUGAUGAUGAUGUUGCCCACAGUGGCUGAAAUAUGAUUCAAACGGCAUUAUAUAUGCAUAUAUGGGUAUGUAUUCAAAUGGUGUUAUAUACGCAUAUAUAUAUGUAUGUAUUCAAACGACGUUAUAUACGCGUAUAUAUGUAUGUAUAUAUAUGUAUAUGGGAUAUGGGAAUGGUUAUGGCGUUAUAUACACACCACCACCUGAUUAGCUGGUAUACGAUUAUGACUUUGCCCACAGUGGCCAAUAUGAUGUGAUGGGAUGCCCUCAGAGGCUGAUGAUAUUAUGUAAAUCCAUACCUAUGCAUGGCUUGACAUUUACACGCACAUGCAUGACGUUAUAAAUGUUUCAAAAUAUACAAAGUUAUUCAGAUUUAAAGAUGUGUUUCAGUAUUCCAUGUUUCAUCUAUGUCUAUUACGUAUUAAUUUCCAUGCCUUACAUACUCAGUACAUUUUUCGUACUGACGCCCUAUUCCACGGGGCCUGCGUUUCAUGCCCGCAGGUGCAGGUAGGCAAGUUGACGGUCCUCCUUCUUAGGAUCCCUAAUCAGCGAGAGUUGGCAUGCUCCAUCUGAUCUGGAGCUACUUUUGAUAUUGGUACGAUACAAUUGUACAUAUAUAUGUAUAUGAGUAUGACAUGGUUCAGUCCUGUCUUUGUACAGUUAUGUUUCUGUUAGAGGUCUAUAGACAGUAUGUCUAGUUGGGUUAUAUGUGGCCUUGUCG
This 1426-nucleotide long non-coding RNA is filed under the name Nicotiana tabacum (common tobacco). RNAcentral's name for it is "long non-coding RNA (NTAB_LNC004437)". Lineage: Eukaryota; Viridiplantae; Streptophyta; Magnoliopsida; Solanales; Solanaceae. The record is from RNAcentral.